CUUAAUCGAUUCUUUAUGUUUU
Molecule: small nuclear RNA, 22 nt
Filed under: Arabidopsis thaliana (thale cress)
Lineage: Eukaryota; Viridiplantae; Streptophyta; Magnoliopsida; Brassicales; Brassicaceae
Description: snRNA_09671
Source: RNAcentral